Molecule: ribosomal RNA, 253 nt
Filed under: uncultured bacterium
Lineage: Bacteria
Description: partial 16S ribosomal RNA
Rfam family: Bacterial small subunit ribosomal RNA
Source: RNAcentral
GACGGAGGAGGCUAGCGUUGUUCGGAAUUACUGGGCGUAAAGCGCACGCAGGUGGCUUGGGAAGUUGGAUGUGAAAGCCCGGGGCUUAACCCCGGAAUAGCAUCCAAAACUUCCAAGCUCGAGUCCGGAAGAGGAGAGUGGAAUUCCCAGUGUAGAGGUGAAAUUCGUAGAUAUUGGGAAGAACACCGGUGGCGAAGGCGGCUCUCUGGUCCGGUUCUGACACUCAAGUGCGACAGCGUGGGGAGCAAACAGG